This 241-nucleotide unclassified non-coding RNA is filed under the name Hevea brasiliensis (rubber tree). The record is from RNAcentral. Lineage: Eukaryota; Viridiplantae; Streptophyta; Magnoliopsida; Malpighiales; Euphorbiaceae.
ACCGCUUCAACUCCCUAACUAAAACCCUAACCGUUGUAAACCAAUCCCUCAAUCACCAUACCCAGUCUUCCAUUCUAGUUCCAAUUUUCAUUCUAUGUUCGCAUUUUUCCUCAAAGCAGCAAAGUAAUGACAGAAAUGAGGACAAGAACGAUGUUGUAUCGCUCUUCAACAGAGACCCAACCAGCCCCCCUCGGCUUUUCGUGGUCCAGCCUCGCCUCCGCCCCGAUACUUUCCUUCAAGC